GUAAAAAUGAAGCAGAGAUGGUAGUGAUGCUGGGGUUCUUGUUCACAGAGUCGAAGAAUGAACUUCGUGAACACUCAAGGGAAAUCUCAAUCAAGAUCCCAGAAGGGUAGAGGGAAAAUUAUUUUUCCUCCCCCACAUACUUCACACUGUUGUCUGCAUAGCCUGAGAAAAUUCAAGCUGAAGCUAAUUUACCACUUGCAAACAGGUACCCAUACCGUAGCCACAACUGCUGCCUCCUGUGUCAGUUCCAGGGAGCCACACCUCCUGGCCUCCCCUGACCUCCACCAUUCCUCAGGGCCCCGAAGGAAAUCUACUGCCCAGCUCACUCCACUUUUCUCCUCUGCUUUACUCUCCAGGAUCCACUAAAUAAAAAGUGUCGAACUUUCAGUUUCCUUUCAAAACAUUGUAUGGUUCUUGUUUAUUUUUCUUCAAAAAGCUAGCAAGCUAAAGGCAGUAUAGCACAGAGAAGACAAGUAGUGACUCUAUAGCGUCUUACUACGCUGAUGGACAGUGACUGUAAUGGGGUUGGGGGGGAACUUGAUAAUAUGGGUGAAUGUUGAAACCACAAUGUUGCUCAUGUGAAACCUUCAUAAGAUUGUAUAUCAAUGAUAUCUUAAUUAAAAAAUAAAAUAAAGCAAGAAGCUACAUGUGACCCCUGCCUCUGAAGCAGCUGAUGAUUAUUAGGAUUGCUGCACAGUCCUGGUUCAGACAUGUAAUUCUAGAAAGGGUCUUAGCUCGGGAUGACUCUGGAUUUGGUUGGGAUGAGGGGACUCCUAAAAUGCAUCUAAUUAUUCCAAUCUUGGGUGGCUACUCCACUGAUCAGGUGGAGAAAAACUUUCAGUUUAGUCCUGGAUAACCUUUUCAUGAUUGUUUGAGCUUGAACAGAUCUUAUAUGAAAACCAGUAGUGGGGAUAGGACCUGCUUCCAUCUAGUAAUGUUUGUAAAAGCCCUUUGAGGACUAACAAGAAAGAUGUCUUUUUUUCAAAAUCCAGAAUCCUAACAACUAUUAGAUAAAAAAGUGAAUCUUGACUGUCUCCUAAUCUGCUUUAAAAUUCACAUUCCCAAUGUUCCAUCUAGCAUUUCCAGUUUAAUGCUGAAUUAACUUGGAAUUAAGCAUGACUGAUGUUUUUCUGUAGAGAAAUUGGGCAUCCUACCUGAAAAUUUCUAACAGCCAGAUUAUUCUGUAGUAUUAUUAUAAGAAUAAUUAGAGUUGCCAGAUGUAGCAAUAAAAAUACAGAGUUCCUAUAUUCUGAAAUUCAAGUUUAACGAGGCAUCCUAUCUUUAGCCAGUAACCUUAAAUGACAGAAAGACUGAAAAAAACAGAGAAAAAAUUAAAAAUUAAAAUGUUGACAGCUACAUAAAACAAAGGCAGGGCAGGCACUGGUAUUAGAUUCUUUGAGAUCAGUGCAGGCACAGACAUACUGGACCCUGAUUCUACUAAUCAAAGAUAUCCAAAUAGAACCAGAGAAAUUGGUUUUACUAUAGACAACAAAUAAAGGUUUAACGUCUAUAAUUAACAUAAAGCACUUAAAUUACAAGGAAAUACCAAUGACCUACUAGAAAAAUUGGAAAAGGCUAUGAAAUAAAGUUCAUAGAAAACCAAGUCCAAAUGACUAAGAAACACAAAGUAAAUAGGAAGAUGCAUAAAAGUAAUUGAGAUGUUGUCAUAUCCAUGAGGAUGAUACUCUCAAAUGCCCAACUUGAAAAGUGACAGCAUUUUUUUCCAUCUAAAAUGGACCACUGUUUUACACUAUACAUAGAAAUUAGCUAAAAAUGGAUUAUGGACUUGAAUAUAAGAUCUGAAACCAUAAAAUUCCCAGAAGAAAACCUAGGCAGUAAGCUUUGACAUCAGUCUUGGUGAUGAUUUUUUGGAUCUGACUCCAAAAACAAAGGCAACAAAAUCAAAAACAAACAAGUGGGACUACAUCAAGCUAAAAACUCUGGACAGAAAAGGCAAUCAUCAAUAAGAUGAAAAGGCAAUCUAUUUCCUAUGAAAAGGAAUGGGAGAAUACAUUUUUAAGUCAUAUACCUGUUAAGAGGUUAAUAUCCAAAAUAUAUCAAGAAUUUAUACAACUCAAUAGCAAAAAAAAAAAUCCAAUGAAAAAACAGGCAGAAGAUAUGAAUAGAUAUAUUUCUGAAGAAGAUAUGCAAAUGCCCAACAGGUAUGUGAAAAGAUGUUCAACAUCACUAAUCAUCAGGGAAAUGCAAGUCAAAACCGCAGCGAGAUAUUACCUCCUACCUAUUAGAAUGUCUAUCAUCAAAAACCGAGAAAUAAAAAGUGUGG
Molecule: long non-coding RNA, 2284 nt
Organism: Manis pentadactyla (Chinese pangolin)
Lineage: Eukaryota; Metazoa; Chordata; Mammalia; Pholidota; Manidae
Exons: 3
Source: RefSeq, a predicted model, not a curated record